GGGCCCGUGGUCUAGUGGUUAUGACAUCACCCUUACAAGGUGAGAAUCGGCGGUUCGAAUCCGCCCGGGCCCA
Molecule: transfer RNA, 73 nt
Filed under: Candidatus Woesearchaeota archaeon
Lineage: Archaea; Nanobdellati; Candidatus Woesearchaeota
Description: tRNA-Val
Rfam family: tRNA
About the family: Transfer RNA (tRNA) molecules are approximately 80 nucleotides in length. Their secondary structure includes four short double-helical elements and three loops (D, anti-codon, and T loops). Further hydrogen bonds mediate the characteristic L-shaped molecular structure. tRNAs have two regions of fundamental functional importance: the anti-codon, which is responsible for specific mRNA codon recognition, and the 3' end, to which the tRNAs corresponding amino acid is attached (by aminoacyl-tRNA synthetases). tRNAs cope with the degeneracy of the genetic code in two manners: having more than one tRNA (with a specific anti-codon) for a particular amino acid; and 'wobble' base-pairing, i.e. permitting non-standard base-pairing at the 3rd anti-codon position.
Source: RNAcentral